RNAcentral lists this ribosomal RNA (520 nucleotides) under Leptolyngbya sp. MGCY515. Its description in RNAcentral is "bacterial SSU rRNA". It matches the Rfam family "Bacterial small subunit ribosomal RNA", at positions 153 to 708 of the family's 1533-position model. Lineage: Bacteria; Bacillati; Cyanobacteriota; Cyanophyceae; Leptolyngbyales; Leptolyngbyaceae. The record is from RNAcentral.
GGAACGGACGCUAAGACCCGAUGUGCCGAGAGGUGAAAUAUUUAUAGCCUGAAGAUGAGCUCGCGUCUGAUUAGCUAGUUGGUGGGGUAAGAGCCNACCAAGGCGAUGAUCAGUAGCUGGUCUGAGAGGAUGAUCAGCCACACUGGGACUGAGACACGGCCCAGACUCCUACGGGAGGCAGCAGUGGGGAAUUUUCCGCAAUGGGCGAAAGCCUGACGGAGCAACGCCGCGUGCGGGAGGACGGCCUGUGGGUUGUAAACCGCUUUUCUCAGGGGAGAUGAUGACGGUACCUGAGGAAUCAGCAUCGGCUAACUCCGUGCCAGCAGCCGCGGUAAUACGGAGGAUGCAAGCGUUAUCCGGAAUUAUUGGGCGUAAAGCGUCCGCAGGUGGUUUUGCAAGUCUGCUGUCAAAGCGUGGAGCUUAACUCCAUAUAGGCAGUGGAAACUGUGAGACUAGAGUGUGGUAGGGGCAGAGGGAAUUCCCAGUGUAGCGGUGAAAUGCGUAGAUAUUGGGAAGAACA